AUUGAACGCUGGCGGCAUGCUUUACACAUGCAAGUCGAACGAGUGGCGAACGGGUGAGUACUAUAUCGGAACGUACCGAGUAAUGGGGGAUAACCAAUCGAAAGAUUGUCUAAUACCGCAUAUUAUUUGAGCGGCCGAUACCUGAUUAGCUAGUGGGGGGGGUAAAGGCCUACCACGGCGACGAUAAGUAGCGGGGCUGAGAGGACGAUGCGCCACACUGGGACUGAGACAGGGCCCAGACUCCUACGGUAGGCAGCAGGGGGGAAUUUUGGACAAUGGGGGCAACCCUGAUCCAGACAUGCGGCGGGUAUGAAGAAGGCCUUGGGGUUGUAAAGUACUUUGGUUAGGGAAGCGGUACCUAAAGAAUAAGCACCGGCUAACUACGUGCCAGCAGCCGCGGUAAUUC
Molecule: ribosomal RNA, 406 nt
Filed under: uncultured bacterium
Lineage: Bacteria
Description: partial 16S ribosomal RNA
Rfam family: Bacterial small subunit ribosomal RNA
Source: RNAcentral